Molecule: long non-coding RNA, 604 nt
Organism: Mytilus californianus (California mussel)
Lineage: Eukaryota; Metazoa; Mollusca; Bivalvia; Mytilida; Mytilidae
Exons: 6
Source: RefSeq, a predicted model, not a curated record
CAAUGCUACAGUGUAAUAACUACCUUAGACGAUGUUUCUGUUUAUCAUUAUUCCAUGUUGUUGUUUGAGACCACUAAUAGAGAAAAUUAAAGCGAAAUGGAGUAAAUAUCAAAAACUCAAAGAAGAAGAAACAGUGAAGUCAAACUACGACACGUUUCCAGACAACAGCUGUCCACAACAACAUGAUACGCACACAGAAUACCCAAACACAGAAGAACAAAAUAAACAACCUUAAUUUCCGAACAAAGAGAAGACGCUUAUAUGUAUUUACACGUAUUUCCCAUAUAUUGACUUGAUGUAGUAUCCAUAGGGCAUAAUUCCUAUCAACCAGUUUGAUGAUGUGUGUGUGUUGUUGCUAAUUAUUCUUGAUAUACCAAUGGAAUGAGAAAUUUACAUUGCUGAUGAUUCUUUGAAUGUUUAAUGCACAGAGCAAAACUGAACACAGCUUGCAUUCAUUUAUGUUAUAAAAUGUCAUUGUAUUUAAAAUUGCUGUCUUUUGUAUUUAUUAUCAUUUAUUAAAUUAAUCGUCACAAACUAUAAUCAAAGGAGCACAAUAUUACGUACAAUUGCAUUGAUAAUGGUAGAUUUAUAAGAUAUUAAACAC